RNAcentral lists this ribosomal RNA (606 nucleotides) under Roseicyclus elongatus. RNAcentral's name for it is "bacterial SSU rRNA". It matches the Rfam family "Bacterial small subunit ribosomal RNA", at positions 63 to 716 of the family's 1533-position model. The record is from RNAcentral. Lineage: Bacteria; Pseudomonadati; Pseudomonadota; Alphaproteobacteria; Rhodobacterales; Roseobacteraceae.
CGAACGAAGCCUUCGGGCUUAGUGGCGGACGGGUGAGUAACGCGUGGGAACGUGCCCUUCUCUACGGAAUAGUCCCGGGAAACUGGGUUUAAUACCGUAUACGCCCUUCGGGGGAAAGAUAAUCGGAGAAGGAUCGGCCCGCGUUGGAUUAGGUAGUUGGUGGGGUAAUGGCCUACCAAGCCGACGAUCCAUAGCUGGUUUGAGAGGAUGAUCAGCCACACUGGGACUGAGACACGGCCCAGACUCCUACGGGAGGCAGCAGUGGGGAAUCUUAGACAAUGGGGGAAACCCUGAUCUAGCCAUGCCGCGUGAGUGACGAAGGCCCUAGGGUCGUAAAGCUCUUUCACCAGGGAUGAUAAUGACAGUACCUGGAGAAGAAACCCCGGCUAACUCCGUGCCAGCAGCCGCGGUAAUACGGAGGGGGUUAGCGUUGUUCGGAAUUACUGGGCGUAAAGCGCACGUAGGCGGAUUAGUCAGUCAGAGGUGAAAUCCCAGGGCUCAACCUUGGAACUGCCUUUGAUACUGCUAGUCUUGAGUUCGAGAGAGGUGAGUGGAAUUCCGAGUGUAGAGGUGAAAUUCGUAGAUAUUCGGAGGAACACCAGUGGC